This 251-nucleotide ribosomal RNA is filed under the name uncultured prokaryote. RNAcentral describes it as "partial 16S rRNA". It matches the Rfam family "Bacterial small subunit ribosomal RNA", at positions 525 to 775 of the family's 1533-position model. The record is from RNAcentral.
ACGGAGGGAGCUAGCGUUGUUCGGAAUUACUGGGCGUAAAGCGCACGUAGGCGGCUUUGUAAGUCAGAGGUGAAAGCCUGGAGCUCAACUCCAGAACUGCCUUUGAGACUGCAUCGCUUGAAUCCAGGAGAGGUGAGUGGAAUUCCGAGUGGGGGGGUGGAAGGCGUGGUAAUUCGGAAGAACACCAGUGGCGGGGGCGGCAAACUGGAAUAGUAUUGACACUGAGGUGCGUAAGCGUCUCGAGCAAAAAG